GUCAGUGCUUGUUCGUCCUGUUUCUUUGAUCUCUACCUUAGAUUCCUCGGUUUUGUUGCUUGAUUUUAUUUUUUGUUUUAAUUCAGGCACUGGCAGAAGAAGUGAGGGCACGGUAUGACAAAGCGAUUUUUAAAGUCGUUGAUCUAGAUGAUUAUGCGGCCGAUGACGAUGAAUAUGAGGAGAAGAUGAAGAAAGAAACUAUAUCAUUUUUCUUUUUAGCAAUAUAUGGAGAUGGUGAGCCAACAGAUAAUGCUGUAAGGUUUUACAAAUAAUUUACAGAGGGGAAUGAGAGGGGAAACUGGCUUCAGAAUCUCAAAUAUGGUGUUUUGGGGCUUGGAAACAGGCAGUAUGAGCAUUUUAAUAAGAUAGCUAAGGUGGUGGAUGACUUGAUUGCAGAACAGGGAGGAAAGCGGCUUGUCCCGGUGGGUCUCGGAGAUGAUGAUCAAUGGAUUGAGGAUGACUUCACUGCAUGGUGUGGAGAACUUUCAUAUUUCUCAGCAUCUCUUUGAUAGACUAUAACCCUUCCACACUAGAUAAUACCGGAUGAACCUAACAUUUGUAAAAAUAGUUUGACUUACCUCAUCUAUUUUUCUUGAUGCCAUUUAUUUUGUAUAUUCAUGUCUAUUCCUUAUUUUGGAGCUAAUUUGUUCAAUCUCCAUUCGAUAAAUGGUUGUCAUGGCUGUUCGUGGAAUGCAUGUGUCAUAUCAUUAUUCAGGAUUGUCCCAGCUAUUUGGUGUUGGCUAUUGAAUGCAUCUGUUUCUUUGUGCUUGUGGUGGUGAGCAUCUUCUUUGUUGCAUCUCAUAUAUGACGAGUGAACUGUGGCAUUCUGUUUGAAGCUCAACUUUAGGGAACUAUUCAGGACCACCUACAAAUAUUCAACAUUGAGACGAAGGCAAAAAUGAAAUAACAUCAGAUGCCUGAGCAGGUUGUGUUUUGGAAGUGGAGUA
Long non-coding RNA from Magnolia sinica, 947 nucleotides. RefSeq lists it as uncharacterized. The record is from RefSeq and is a predicted model, not a curated record. The transcript has 7 exons. Lineage: Eukaryota; Viridiplantae; Streptophyta; Magnoliopsida; Magnoliales; Magnoliaceae.